CUUUUUCUUGCCUUUAAUAUGUGAAGUAUAAAUUUGACCAAAAUAAAAGGUAAGUGUAGUAUAAAGAUAGUAGAGGUUGGGUUGGAUCUGUAGUUUUAUUGGGAUUGUUUAGUUUUGAGAGAUUUGAAUAUAGGAACGAGAGCCAUUCUCAUACCUUUGAGACAGUUUGUUCUUCGAUGAUGACAUGUUGUUUCCUUUUUCAAUUUCUCAUUUGCCAAAAGAUGAGUUACGUGACCUUCUGAUGAUUCCCAAGUCGACAACACUACCUUCCAUCUCACUGGUUCAUGCGGCUCAGGUAUGUUAAGGCUAAGCCCUUCCUUCAUUUUGGCAUGAUCCAAGUAACGAUACGUAAGUGUAAUGUUAUUUCAUAAGUGGUUCUACUCUUGACAGUUAAGGAUAUCUAUGUUAUUCAUUUUGGUAAAGUUAUAUUAAAGCAUGUCUAAGUAUGUAUCUAGUUCCCUAUUGAGAUAUUAUGAUAGAGAUGUUAAUGUUUAUAAUAUAGUGAUACAUGCAUCUUCAUGCAUUUACCACCAUGCUACGGCCGGUCGGGCAGUUACCACCGGUUGGGAAGUUAUGUAUCAUUAUUUACCGCCGGUUGGGCAGCCAUGCAUAUUCAUUUACCAUCGAGCUACGGCCGGUCGGGCAAUCAUGUAUUUACUACCGAGCUACGGCCAGUCGGGCAGUUACAUAUUUACCACCGAGCUACGACCAGUCGGGCAGUCAUACAUUUACCACCGAGCUAUGGCCGGUUGGGCAGUUACAUAUUUACCACCGAGCUAAGGCCGGUUGGAAAGUUACCACUGAUCAGUUGGGCAGUCAUGCAUCAUACGAUAUGGAUAAUAGUCUCAAAGAGAAACAUUGUAUAUAUGUAAUUAUAAUAAGUAUGCAUAUACGGUGGCACUUCACAGAUUCAGGUUGAUUCUUAUAUGUCUUUAAUUAAUGUUAACUUACUGUUAUGUUUCAGUUCUGCCUUACAUACUCAGUACAUUAUUCGUACUGACGUCCUUUUGUUGGGGACGCUGCAUUUAUGCCUGCAGGUAUAGAUCAUCAGUUUGAUGGGCCCUCAUAGUAGACGAGAUUGGCAUUCAGCGAAGGAUCGGUAAGACUCCACCUCAUUCGGAGUGCACCCGAGUCUAUGAGUCAUCGUGUCAAAGUUUUACCACAGACUUAUGGGUAGGCCGGUACCCUGUCCCAUUUUAUAUCAAAUAAUCUUAGAGGCUUUGUAGACAGAGGUUCAUUUUGUACAGUAUGUCAGAGGCCUUGACGACCCAUAUGUAUUCAUGUUUUAAGAAAAAUGAUUCAGUGAUACAGUGUUUUCCCACUUACGCUUGUACAUUAUGAGUUGUGGCCAUGUUGGCCCAUGAUAGUUACAAAAGGAAUGAGUUCA
Molecule: long non-coding RNA, 1387 nt
Filed under: Nicotiana tabacum (common tobacco)
Lineage: Eukaryota; Viridiplantae; Streptophyta; Magnoliopsida; Solanales; Solanaceae
Description: long non-coding RNA (NTAB_LNC014417)
Source: RNAcentral